This is a long non-coding RNA of Balaenoptera acutorostrata (minke whale), 1705 nucleotides long. RefSeq lists it as uncharacterized. The transcript is spliced from 3 exons. The record is from RefSeq and is a predicted model, not a curated record. Lineage: Eukaryota; Metazoa; Chordata; Mammalia; Artiodactyla; Balaenopteridae.
CAAAGGCGAAGUUUGGAUGCAUCCUUCUGGUUCUGAAGUGGGAGACGAGAAUGGAAAAGAGUCCCUGCCCGGAAGAUAAGGGCCCCGGAACGCAAGGCGUUAAUAUUCUGGCGCCGCACAAGCACCUGACUCCGCUAGCACAGUCUGCCCUUCAACACAAAAUCUGCCGAGCCUGCUCAUCGCACACGGACAAGAAAUUUCCCGGCAACCUGCGAUUGCUAAUUUACCGAGGAUGGGCAGCAGGCUGUUGAAAGGAACGCCAGUUUUCCCGGGAUUCUCUUCCCGAACACAAAUCCAAGUGUUUAAUGCAAGAUUCACACUUCACUCAGCAUUAAGAACACAAGAAGGCAGCUUCAAAGGCUCUGUAUGGAGUUUUGUUUCUCCCCUUUGUCACUUUUUGCUGCCACUUUACUAACUUUCCAAAUCUUAGUAGUUGCUCUCCCAUUCCUUAUUUAAACAUUAAUGAAACAUGAGUAACCUACACCAUUUCAUAAACCGCCUUCAUUGUUAGAAGCAGAUUCCAGAGGGAAGUGAAAUUGAACAAACCAUAAAUUUGCUCCAGCCACUCUCCAUUCCAUAUUUUUGGAGCAUCUAAUAUAAGGCCCAGUGCUACCUGGGGAAACAGUAGUGGAAACAAGAUAACCAGAGUUCCUGCCCUCAUAGAGCUUAUCUUCUAACCAUUCCAAGAUGGAAGGAAGGCAGCAAACAAAUCCAUGGAUUGUGAUAGGCUUGUUACGAAGAAAAACCACAAGAUGCUGUGAGAAAGUAUGCAUGGCACAGGGACCUGACCUUUGGCUGGGGGAUGAAGAAGGCCUCCCCGCAGAAGUGGCAUUAAAGCUGAGAUCUAUGAGUUGAGUGAAACUCGAUGAAGGUGGGCAUGGAGGGACAGGAGGGGGAACAGAGAGAAGCAUUCCAAGCAGAGGGAACAAAAUAUGCAAAGGCCUGAAGGUGGAAAGAACACAAUGCUUCUGAGGUGAGGAAAGAAGGCAGGUUAUAAGAGGGAAAGUGUCCCAAGACAAGCUGGGAAGGUGGCAUAGCCAGAUGCUUCAGGACACUGUAGACGACAGUUUGGAUUCAAAUCUCACCCUAAGAGCAAUAGGAACACACUGAAAGGUUAAAGUUUGUCCACUGAACUCAAAUUCCCUUGGCUACCUGUGAUUGAUAUAUCAAGAAGAAAACAGUAUGAAAAAGUGCUCUGAUAAAGGAAAACAUAUUUAGAAUAGAAAGCAUAGUGUCAUAGGAGAAAGGGUGCUAAACCAUGAAUGAAAACUAAGGGGUUCUACUCAUAGUACUAUUAUCCUGGGUAGGCCAUUUAAUCUCAAAAUAUCUCCACUUCCUCAUCUAUCAAAUAAAAGUACUAAAAAAUUCAAAACUCACAUAUUCAUUGUAAAAAGCAAAUGAGAUACUACAUUUGACAUUUCAAAAUGCUUUGAGGGGCUUCCCUGGUGGCGCAGUGGUUAAGAAUCCACCUGCCAAUGCAGGAUACACGGGUUUGAGCCCUGGUCCGGGAAGAUCCCACAUGCCGCGGAGCAACUAAGCCCGUGAGCCACAACUACUGAAGCCUGCGCGCCUAGAGCCCAUGCUCUGCAACGAGAAGCCUCCGUAAUGAGAAGCCCCUGCAAUGAGAAGCCCGCACACCGCAACAAAGAGUAGCCCCCGUUCCUACUCGCUGCAACUAUAGAAAGCCUGCGCACAGCAACGAAGA